RNAcentral lists this ribosomal RNA (393 nucleotides) under uncultured bacterium. RNAcentral's name for it is "partial 16S ribosomal RNA". It matches the Rfam family "Bacterial small subunit ribosomal RNA", at positions 523 to 918 of the family's 1533-position model. The record is from RNAcentral.
AUACGGAGGAUCCGAGCGUUAUCCGGAUUUAUUGGGUUUAAAGGGAGCGUAGGCGGGAGAUCAAGUCAGCUGUGAAAUGUAGAUGCUCAACAUCUGCACUGCAGUUGAAACUGGUUUUCUUGAGUGCGUAAGGGGCAGGCGGAAUUCGUCGUGUAGCGGUGAAAUGCUUAGAUAUGACGAAGAACUCCGAUCGCGAAGGCAGCCUGCCGGGCCGCGACUGACGCUGAAGCUCGAAGGUGCGGGUAUCGAACAGGAUUAGAUACCCUGGUAGUCCGCACAGUAAACGAUGGAUACUCGCUGUCGGCGAUAUACGGUCGGUGGCCAAGCGAAAGCGUUAAGUAUCCCACCUGGGGAGUACGCCGGCAACGGUGAAACUCAAAGGAAUUGACGGGG